UACGUAGGGGGCUAGCGUUGUCCGGAAUUAUUGGGCGUAAAGAGCUCGUAGGCGGUCUGUCGCGUCGGCUGUGAAAACCCGGAGCUCAACUCCGGGCCUGCAGUCGAUACGGGCAAACUGGAGUGUUGCAGGGGAGACUGGAAUUCCUGGUGUAGCGGUGAAAUGCGCAGAUAUCAGGAGGAACACCGGUGGCGAAGGCGGGUCUCUGGGCCGAUACUGACGCUGAGGAGCGAAAGCGUGGGGAGCGAACAGG
This 253-nucleotide ribosomal RNA is filed under the name uncultured bacterium. Its description in RNAcentral is "partial 16S ribosomal RNA". It matches the Rfam family "Bacterial small subunit ribosomal RNA", at positions 524 to 776 of the family's 1533-position model. The record is from RNAcentral.